UAGGGAAUCUUCGGCAAUGGGGGCAACCCUGACCGAGCAACGCCGCGUGAGUGAAGAAGGUUUUCGGAUCGUAAAGCUCUGUUGUAAGAGAAGAACGUGUGCGAGAGUGGAAAGUUCACACAGUGACGGUAACUUACCAGAAAGGGACGGCUAACUACGUUCCAGCAGCCGCGGUAAUACGUAGGUCCCGAGCGUUGUCCGGAUUUAUUGGGCGUAAAGCGAGCGCAGGCGGUUUAAUAAGUCUGAAGUUAAAGGCAGUGGCUUAACCAUUGUUCGCUUUGGAAACUGUUAAACUUGAGUGCAGAAGGGGAGAGUGGAAUUCCAUGUGUAGCGGUGAAAUGCGUAGAUAUAUGGAGGAACACCGGUGGCGAAAGCGGCUCUCUGGUCUGUAACUGACGCUGAGGCUCGAAAGCGUGGGGAGCAAACAGG
Molecule: ribosomal RNA, 429 nt
Filed under: bacterium
Lineage: Bacteria
Description: partial 16S ribosomal RNA
Rfam family: Bacterial small subunit ribosomal RNA
Source: RNAcentral